This 241-nucleotide unclassified non-coding RNA is filed under the name fungal sp. RNAcentral's name for it is "partial internal transcribed spacer region". The record is from RNAcentral. Lineage: Eukaryota; Fungi.
AAGUCGUAACAAGGUUUCCGUCAAGCAGUUAGUGUCUGAAAGUGUCACUAACGUUAGUGUCUGAAAGUGUCACUAACAUGUGUAAGGAUGACGCAGUCACGAUCGUUGGAGGCCCACACGGCCGACGUCACCGGGCGCAAGCCCCCUUAUCACACCUGCUCUAUCUAUGGUGAUCCUGCGGGAAGUCCUGCGGUCGAACGCCGAAACCGAACAACUGUUAACAAUGGAUAUCUUGGUUCUC